AAAGUUAGAGGUUCGAAGGCGAUCAGAUACCGCCCUAGUUCUAACCAUAAACGAUGCCAGCCAGCGAUCCGGCUGUGUUCCUCAAAUGACACGCCGGGCAGCUUCCGGGAAACCAAAGCUUUUGGGUUCCGGGGGAAGUAUGGUUGCAAAGCUGAAACUUAAAGGAAUUGACGGAAGGGCACCACCAGGAUUGGAGCUUGCGGUUUAAUUUGACUCAACACGGGACAACCUACCCGGCCCGGACACAGGAAGGAUUGACAGAUUAAGAGCUCUUUCUUGAUUCUGUGGGUGGUGGUGCAUGGCCGUUCUUAGUUGGUGGACUGAUUUGUCUGGUUAAUUCCGUUAACGAACGAGACUCUAGCCUACUAAAUAGACGUUCCGAUUAUUUAUUUUUCGGACGUUNUUCUUAGAGGGACAAUCGGCGCUUAGCCCGAUGAGACAGAGCAAUAACAGGUCUGUGAUGCCCUUUGAUGUCCGGGGCCACACGCGUGCUACAUUGAAGGAAUCAGCGUGUGCUUUCCCUGUCCGACAGGACUGGGUAACCCGUUGAACCUCCUUCGUGCUGGGGAUAGGGGCUUGUAAUUGUUCCCCUUGAACGAGGAAUUCCUAGUAAGCACGAAUCAUCAGUUCGUGUUGACUAAGUCCCUGCCCUUUGUCCACACCGCCCGUCGCUACUACCGAUUGAAUGAUUUAGUGAGGUCUUCGGACUGGCGCUCGGAGCGGCCUUCGGGUCGCGCCGGCGUGCCGGAAAGAUGACCAAACUUGGUCAUU
RNAcentral lists this ribosomal RNA (771 nucleotides) under Coelotes terrestris. RNAcentral's name for it is "SSU rRNA". It matches the Rfam family "Eukaryotic small subunit ribosomal RNA", at positions 986 to 1773 of the family's 1831-position model. Lineage: Eukaryota; Metazoa; Arthropoda; Arachnida; Araneae; Agelenidae. The record is from RNAcentral.